RNAcentral lists this ribosomal RNA (465 nucleotides) under uncultured bacterium. RNAcentral describes it as "partial 16S ribosomal RNA". It matches the Rfam family "Bacterial small subunit ribosomal RNA", at positions 28 to 507 of the family's 1533-position model. The record is from RNAcentral.
GACGAACGCUGGCGGCGUGCUUAACACAUGCAAGUCGAACGGAAAGGCCCUGCUUGCAGGGUACUCGAGUGGCGAACGGGUGAGUAACACGUGGGUGAUCUGCCCUGCACUUCGGGAUAAGCCUGGGAAACUGGGUCUAAUACCGGAUAGGAGCCAUUUUUAGUGUGAUGGUUGGAAAGUUUUUUCGGUGUAGGAUGAGCUCGCGGCCUAUCAGCUUGUUGGUGGGGUAAUGGCCUACCAAGGCGGCGACGGGUAGCCGGCCUGAGAGGGUGGACGGCCACAUUGGGACUAAGAUACGGCCCAGACUCCUACGGGAGGCAGCAGUGGGGAAUAUUGCACAAUGGGCGCAAGCCUGAUGCAGCGACGCCGCGUGGGGGAUGACGGCCUUCGGGUUGUAAACUCCUUUCGCUAGGGACGAAGCUUUUUGUGACGGUACCUAGAUAAGAAGCACCGGCUAACUACGUG